This is a non-coding RNA of Hypoxylon fragiforme, 99 nucleotides long. NCBI's taxonomy places the organism in Eukaryota, Fungi, Ascomycota, Sordariomycetes, Xylariales, Hypoxylaceae. The record is from the annotation of a RefSeq genome assembly.
GGUUUCCUGGUGUAAUGGCUAGCACUGCGGAUUCUGACAACUCAAAUCAGAAUUUCAAAUUAAUUUCCGCCAAUCUGGGUUCGAUUCCCAGGGAGACCU